UACGUAGGGGGCUAGCGUUAUCCGGAAUUACUGGGCGUAAAGGGUGCGUAGGUGGUUUCUUAAGUCAGAGGUGAAAGGCUACGGCUCAACCCGUAGUAAGCCUUUGAAACUGGGAAACUUGAGUGCAGGAGAGGAGAGUGGAAUUCCUAGUGUAGCGGUGAAAUGCGUAGAUAUUAGGAGGAACACCAGUUGCGAAGGCGGCUCUCUGGACUGUAACUGACACUGAGGCACGAAAGCGUGGGGAGCAAACAGG
This 253-nucleotide ribosomal RNA is filed under the name uncultured bacterium. RNAcentral describes it as "partial 16S ribosomal RNA". It matches the Rfam family "Bacterial small subunit ribosomal RNA", at positions 524 to 776 of the family's 1533-position model. The record is from RNAcentral.